This 253-nucleotide ribosomal RNA is filed under the name uncultured bacterium. RNAcentral's name for it is "partial 16S ribosomal RNA". It matches the Rfam family "Bacterial small subunit ribosomal RNA", at positions 524 to 776 of the family's 1533-position model. The record is from RNAcentral.
UACGUAGGGACCAAGCGUUGUUCGGAUUUACUGGGCGUAAAGGGCGCGUAGGCGGUGCGGUAAGUCACUUGUGAAAUCUCUGAGCUUAACUCAGAACGGCCAAGUGAUACUGCAGUACUAGAGUGCGGAAGGGGCAAUCGGAAUUCUUGGUGUAGCGGUGAAAUGCGCAGAUAUCAGGAAGAACACCUAUGGCGAAGGCAGCACUCUGGGACGGUACUGACGCUGAGACGCGAAAGCGUGGGGAGCAAACAGG